GUUUGGGGCAUAAAGGUUUACAAAAGUAAAUAUAUUUUUAUCGAUUUCUAUGUUGAUUAAAACAAUUCUUCCGUCUUGAUCUACAUAUUUAUCUAUGAUUUCAUACUUAAUUUUUUGGUUGAUAUAAAUCGAAACACCUCUUGAUUGUGUGCUUCCAAAACUAUGAUAUAAAUCGCCCGUAAAUUCUUUAUCUAUUGAAUUGUUCGAAAAAUGUGUUUCUUGUAAAAAUAUUAUGUUGCAUUUUUGUUGUUUUAUCCAUUCUUUUAGUCUAAUUCUUUUUUUCAUAUUUUCCUAACCCCUGACAAUUUAAAGAACAUAUAUGCAAUGGAUUAAGUGACAUCUUGAUUUUGUUUUUAAAAAAGUAUUUGAUACAUGUAUUUCAAAUAUAAAAAGCAGAAUAUACAUACAAAUAUAU
This 415-nucleotide long non-coding RNA is filed under the name Mytilus galloprovincialis (Mediterranean mussel). The record is from RNAcentral. Lineage: Eukaryota; Metazoa; Mollusca; Bivalvia; Mytilida; Mytilidae.